RNAcentral lists this ribosomal RNA (361 nucleotides) under uncultured soil bacterium. Its description in RNAcentral is "bacterial SSU rRNA". It matches the Rfam family "Bacterial small subunit ribosomal RNA", at positions 26 to 414 of the family's 1533-position model. The record is from RNAcentral.
AGAACGAACGCUGGCGGCAUGCCUAAUACAUGCAAGUCGAACGAAGGCUUCGGCCUUAGUGGCGCACGGGUGCGUAACGCGUGGGAAUCUGCCCCUUGGUUCGGAAUAACAGUUGGAAACGACUGCUAAUACCGGAUGAUGACGAAAGUCCAAAGAUUUAUCGCCAAGGGAUGAGCCCGCGUAGGAUUAGCUAGUUGGUGAGGUAAAGGCUCACCAAGGCGACGAUCCUUAGCUGGUCUGAGAGGAUGAUCAGCCACACUGGGACUGAGACACGGCCCACGACUCCGUACGGGAGGCAGCAGUAGGAAGUAUGGACAAUGGGCGAAGCUGAUCCAGCAAUGCCGCGUGAGUGAGUAGAAGG